UUUAACUUGAUAUAGCUGGUUACUUACCAUUUAUUUUAGGUAAUCAAUUAAUGUUUAUUAAAUAGAGCUACCUGCAAUUAUCUUUUAAAUGACCUCAUUUUGUAAAUAUUUUUUACACCCUUAGCGGAUAGAACUUAAAACUCAAAGAUAAAUAGCUAUGAUAAACUAAGUAUACUAAAAAAUGCUGAUUUUGAAAACACUAAAAAUAAAAACAGUAUAAAUUCAGACUAAAACCAUUCACAAGAAAUGAAGGAUGAACAUACAGUACAACACUUUAAAACAAGGAUUCGGGCGAGAAACCUACAGUAAACCCACGUUAAAUAUACAUCAGUUGAAUGGUAGCCUGAACGACAAAAAUCAAGAUAGACAAGAAAAUUCAGAAUUUAGAAAGUCUACACAGAAUGCAAAGAAGACAAAUUAAAGCAAAGUAAAAUUGAAGCAAAGAAUGUAAGAGUAGUGAAGAAAAGAAUAACCUUUGAAUUCCGAUAAAUGUUGAAGAACAAAUGGUAAAUUGUUCCCGAGCUACCAGUUUAAGCAACUCUUUUAGGUGCGUCAGAAGCUUCUAGCUUUGUCCGGAAGAACCCAAAGGGGAACUCAAAGGGUAAAAAUUAGAAAUAGUCUAAUUACAAUUAGUAAUUUCAAAGAUAAUAAAAAAUUAGUUAC
This 663-nucleotide long non-coding RNA is filed under the name Nicotiana tabacum (common tobacco). RNAcentral's name for it is "long non-coding RNA (NTAB_LNC004532)". The record is from RNAcentral. Lineage: Eukaryota; Viridiplantae; Streptophyta; Magnoliopsida; Solanales; Solanaceae.